RNAcentral lists this ribosomal RNA (466 nucleotides) under uncultured bacterium. RNAcentral's name for it is "partial 16S ribosomal RNA". It matches the Rfam family "Bacterial small subunit ribosomal RNA", at positions 28 to 506 of the family's 1533-position model. The record is from RNAcentral.
GAUGAACGCUGACAGAAUGCUUAACACAUGCAAGUCAACUUGAAUUUGGGUUUUUAACUUAGGUUUGGGUGGCGGACGGGUGAGUAACGCGUAAAGAACUUGCCUCACAGCUAGGGACAACAUUUGGAAACGAAUGCUAAUACCUAAUAUUAUGAUAAUAGGGCAUCCUAUAAUUAUGAAAGCUAUAAGCGCUGUGAGAGAGCUUUGCGUCCCAUUAGCUAGUUGGAGAGGUAACGGCUCACCAAGGCGAUGAUGGGUAGCCGGCCUGAGAGGGUGAUCGGCCACAAGGGGACUGAGACACGGCCCUUACUCCUACGGGAGGCAGCAGUGGGGAAUAUUGGACAAUGGACCGAGAGUCUGAUCCAGCAAUUCUGUGUGCACGAUGAAGUUUUUCGGAAUGUAAAGUGCUUUCAGUUGGGAAGAAACAAAUGACGGUACCAACAGAAGAAGUGACGGCUAAAUACGU